CGCAGCCAGCACAUGCACACCACCUCCCUUCGGGAUGAGCCUUUGGCACGACUGGCGGAUCACAUUAAUGCUCCAUCAUGUUACCGCAGCGGAGCAUCGCUUGGCACGAUGAAGCAGGAUACUCCCUAAAGAAAACUUUGAAAGAACAGUGCUGCACGGCUGAACUAGGACCUAACUGCUGCAGAUUAGGAAAUACACUGCACCCAGAAGAUGGAUGGAUUUCAUUCCUCAGGGUGUGCCAAUGCUGCCAAACAGCACACUUGGAGUUCAGUGCACAAGCACAGCAUUGAGAAGCUGGGAAAAUGAACCCAUGUGGAGCUUCGUGCUGCUCUUGGUUUCCCUGACGGCCCCACCCAGCGACAUUUGGAACGCAGGCAGACACACAUGGCACAAUGGACACAUCUCGUGGACCAAGCGGUCGGUGAAAUCACAUUAGUGGCAGAAACUGUUGUGGUAAGGAUGCAGCACACUUCCAGCUCUGUGGAAUUCCAAAGCCUUACAGGUUUAAUCAACAGUGAAAAUUCUGAGAUCUUGACGUUUCUCUCAUUUUUCUGACCAUCUGCCUUCUUCCAUGGUGUUUUCUGUAUUUCCUGCAUUUGUCCUAUGCUGGAAACAUGGGAUUAUUCCCUCUCAUAAGAUCUUAAUUUUUAGUUUCUAGAGCACAACUCCCAUAUGUGCAAAAGCCAUACAGAAUAUCAACUAAAUAUUGGCAAAAUGAAAAUGGCCAAUAUUGAUUUGACAUUUUGUCAGCAUUCAAUUAGGAAUGAAGCAAAUAUCCUAAUUUGGCACCAGGGGAUGAAAUUGGAGUUUGAUGUUUUAUAUUUGAUUUGCCUAUUAAAAAUGUUUUCAUCACCCUGUCGCUGUGUGAAAGGCUGACACGAAGAACACGGAAAAGUAACACGGAAGAAAAGCUCCAUGGAUGUUCCUAAUGUGUUGCCACAAGGUGAGGGCAACUUUUUUUCUAUCUACACACAACUUUCAUUUGCUCUGAGCCCACUCAAAAUGCUACUUGACAAACUAAUAGGUAACAAGAAUCUCUCCACGUUUCAGAACCAACCAGGGCACGUUAAAAAUCCACUAGCAGCUGGCUUUGGCAGUAUGAAUUCUCUGGCUGUCCAGGCAAAUUACACACGGAUGCGUGCUGCGGGUUGUUGGAGAUGGCCAUCCCCACAGGAGGCAGGACACGCUGGCAGACAUGGAGCCUGAGCAAAUUCCCAUUUGCACAAACCCAUAUAAUGCCAGAAAAAUUAACCAGCAGGACCUUCUUCUGUAAGUGCAAGACCAUGCGCAUGCACACAGUCAGACAGCUUUUCACAGAGAACUGUAACAUUACAUGGGAUGAUCAUAGGAAUAUUCAGGUACAGAAUAAAAAUGACCACCAGUUCCUGACUCGGUAAUUAAGCCUUUUAGCCUAUAUAACAAGUAUGCAGAAAGUAUCACAGGCAUCAACAACCUCCCAAAACUCUAUAUCCAACUAGCGUACUGAUGAAUGUGCUUUAGAAAGACUUAUCAUUUACAAAGAAGACCCAAAAAUCUACCAUCCCGACACCAGUGUUUUCCCCCUAUAAACCAGUACUACUAAAAAAUGACAAGUGGCAAAUGACCAGCUUUGUAAUGAAAUCUGAGGAAGGGAUCCACUACUCUUGCCCAGAUUCUCAUUCAUCCAAUAUCUUCCUAGUGGAUUCUGCACGCAGGUAUAAACCUCUGGCCUGUGCUUUGCAGAAAGUCAAACCAGAUGAUGACAAACAGGUCCUGUAGGUACAAAUCUAUAAUGGUGAAUUUCAGAGCCACAUUUACUACAGCAAAAGACAAGGUACUAAAUUAAUGUACAGUGGGUAAACUAUGUCUGUCUGUAAUGUCCGAGUACUGUGAGAGUGCGGUAAGGGAAGCAGAAACUGCCCCUCCAGCAAAGGAAUCCUGAGUAUUAACCUGAAGUUGGGAGCAGAGUCUGCUGACUGAGACACGAAGCAAGCUCAUUUGAAGUAUUUCCAGAAUGAUCUCCAUAAAGCAUGUCACCUGCCUAACAGCAUCUGAAGAGCCACAAACACAGCCAACAGCUCAGAGACAGGAGCCCCACCGAGUCUGGGCGAAGUCAUUACCAAUGGGGAGAGCAAUGUUUGCACUGGAGGAGAGAAUGGAAUUCAUUAGAUGUAAAAUGACAGUUCCUAUUCCUGACAAGGAGGAGCCAGUAAAACGGAGGCUUUGUUUGUUUGUUAGUUUACUAUAAAGAUCUUAAAGCAAAACAAACACUGAAAAUUGAGAAAUAGCUGACAGUGAUGAACUCGGGUAAAUCCAACCUCUUUUACAAGGGAAUACCAAAGCAGAUUUUAAACAUUUGGCAGCUUAUCAGAAGCCAGGGAAGAUUAAAUAUGUGAGUGAAAAAUCAGGCCAAGAAACCAAAACCAGCUUUUCACAGCAAAAGAAAGCCAAGGAGGAACAGUCUAAAAAGCACUUGGAAAGAAAUACUACGAUCAUUUCACUCUUAGGAAAUAGAUCACUAAAGCAAGAGGAAUUUGAAUUCCUUUUGGAAGUGUGCAGGUAUUUAUGAAGGUAUUUAGAAGAUUUAGCGCGAGUGUGGAAGCACUGACAGGAUCGAGGCUGUCAAAGAGAGCAGAGCCCCUCAGAAACAAUGAGUGCACACGUACUCCCACUGCUGCUAUGGCUUGGGUUGCUCACCAACAGCACAAAGACAGGAGAUGGUUUAUACAAAAGUCACCAAUGUGGAAUGCCUGAUGGACGUUUCCAACCUCCUUGUAUGACUCGGCAAAUCUGUGUCAAAGUUCCUAACAGCUGAAAUAACUCCGAGCUCCAGCACGGGCUCUGCUACUGACUCCCUCAGACGAACCCUGCUGCAUCUCCUGUGCUGCUUUCACAUUUCUAAAGCUACACAACACUCCUCUAUACAGACCCAAAUAACUUACUGGAUUGACAGUGCACUGAUGAUAAGAACUGCAACUUCAACACUGAGUUGGGUUUUUUUCGGGGUGGAAUACUGCAUGGAGUAGUUCCCUACAGGUAUUUAACUCUGUGCCUAACUUGACUGUGUAUACCUGGCUUUUUGUGGGUUGCUAAAAUGGUGAAGACCACAUUUUAAAAGUGUGUGCACAUGUAGGUGAAGGAGAACAAGUAAAUGACUUCAGAAAAGCUCACAUAAGAAAACAGCUCCCACAUGAAUCAGCCUGUAUCUCAAUCCUUCUUCAUAACUGUGCUCUCAAAGCUGAAGAAAAGGUACUCUGAGGUGGUGUUCAAGGCCAGGUUUGAUGAAGCUUUGAGCCCCUGAUCCAGUGGGAGGUGUCCCUGCCCAUGGGAGGGGGUGGAACUGGAUGGGCUUCAAUGCCCCUUCCAACCAAAACCAUUCCAUGAUUCUAUGGAGUAUCACUCUACAUCUAUUUUAAUUCAGUUUUACUAAGCAUAUGCAGGCUACCAAGUAACAGAGUAAAUCUCACAGCAUCUCAUAGCUGGAGAACUUCAAACAGCACAGUACAAAGAAAACAACCAGCUAAAGAAACAGAGGGAAAUUUGGGUGAGUAAAGAGAUAACUUUUAAAACAGUUUUCAGGGACAUUAGCAGUUGCAGAGGUCUCUUCUCUACGUGGGACAUCUCCUAUAAGGCUAUUCCUUCCCUAUCAGUGAAACUCAACUAUAAAUGGCUCAGAAUUCCCAAACAUCCUUUUCAGAAAUAUUGAGAGUUCUGUUCCAUCUACAUUCCAACACCUUUAGAGGCCAAACACAAAGAGGGCAAAAUUGCAACAGAAUUGAGUCUGGGGCAGCAAAAAUUUUCUGUGGGGAAAGAAUAUACAUGGGGACCGCACUGAAAGCAGAGUGAAAGAGAUUGUCAUCACAAAUUGGUACAGCAUGUUGCACUCUGAAAAUAACUACUGAGUAAUCUCAACUAAGUGAACACUGGCCUCUCUCUAGCAGAGAAGGCACCCAAAGUGUGUUUAGACUGAACAGACAGUAUUAUUAAAAAGAGGCCACUCUUUCUUACUGUGGUAUCUCUCACCCACAGGAACUUUGAUUAGGAAAGGCUUCCUUCUGGGUGCAACAAACUACAAAAUAUUCAUUACCACUUGACAUUACCGAAGAAGUGACAGCAUGAAAAGUUCGAGUUUCCAGCUCAGUAUUCAAUUCCAAAUGUAACAAACAUUUUCCAUUUCCUACAUUCCCAGGGAAAUGCCGAAGCCCACAGGCUCUUCACUCUGUUUCAAACAUUUGUGUUUGAAGUUAAGAAGUGUUUGCCUUCCCCUUCAGUGGUGGGUGAUCUCUGCAUACUUCUCACACGCUUUCCUCAAGGGCUUGUGAUUCCUAAGGGGAGUUCACAACAUGUUCCACGUCUUCAGGUCUGACCUACAUUCCCGUGUCGCUCAGACUCUAUGGCGUAACAGAUUUCCAAGUCCCAAAGAGAAAUGAAGGUUCCUGGUAAAACCUUGAGCUUGCUGUAUUCCUUUCAAGGAACAUUACAUUUUUCAGUGCAGUGAGACUAGGCACGACACAAAUUUCAGACACACUUUUUCACGUAACAGAAAAAGAGAGAAGGGAAGUGAAGCCAAAACCUCUCCGACUUUUUUUUUCUGGCUGAUCUCAAUCUGUAGGAAUUCCCCAAUCACAAAAAUGCUCUGCUCUUGCUAAGGAAAUGAUAUUGAUUAGAAAAAAACCUUCCAGAUGUUAACCGAAAGCAAUCUCGAGAUGAAGGGAAAGUGGAGGAGAGAAGAAGUGUGCGGUGACCCACCCCAGGCAGGAAACUCAGCACGAGCCCUGUACCCUCUCUGGGCUGGGAUGCAGCCAAACGCCAGACAGUGCUCACACACACUCACACUGGGCUGCUCUCCCCCCGUCCCAGCAGUAAUUAGAAUGUUUCCAGCUUAACCCCAUCAAUUCUUUAUAUCCUUUCUGAUUUGCAUUAUUAGGUAAACAUAUAAAUACAUUAGAAUUAAAGUUAUAGUAGGAAGAGUAGGUUUUUGUUUAUUAUUUUUUCCUUCCAGAAGAACCAGAACCUCCUAUUUGUCUUCACAAUUCCCAUGCCAUUUCUUGCUUAUAUCCUUAUCAGGGCAGUUCCCUGAGUGAGAUCCGGAGGUAUCUCAAAAGGCAUAGUUACGGUUAAAAUAUGAAGUUCUUCAAGAGAAGCCACUGAACUCAUAGCCAAGACAAAUGUCUUAGUUCUUUGUAAGUUAGUUAAUGAGAUUUAAUUCCUUAUGGGUUUUGGAGAAUGACGAGAAUUAUCCAGCUGUUCAUUUCUGUGGGGGUGAACUACCAGGGCUCCCAUAGAGUUCUUCUACUUAUGACAUUUGUACUUUACUCUCUAUCAGAUUAAUGCUACUUCGCUUAGAUAUUCAGGGAAAAGAAAGGCAAGGGAAAAAAUUAAAGCACUUCGUUUGUGAAAGUCUACACAUGUUUCUAAGUCUGAGAUUUCUCUUAUUUUCUUCCUACUGGAAAAAUGUUCAUCAUGGGAAAAACCUGUUUCCUGUUGCAGAGACUACUGCACUGACACUAAGCGCAAUCAGAAGCUAAUCUCCCGAGGCACACUCUCACCUACUUAUUUACCAUUUCACAAUUCCCUAUAGGACUGAAAUUCUCCUCUUUCCAACAGACCAUGAACACUGUGUGACGUUAUUAUUCUAUAAAUGCCUCUCAGACCCUUCAAAAUCUGAUCAUUACUACUUCAAAAUGACUGCUUCAUGCGAACAUAAAGGAUAUUUAAUGAAAUAAACAUUUACUUUAUCUAUUGCCUCGCAUUCUGCAAGAUGCAAAAGUAUCCUAUAACAGAUGCACAAGCUUUGUGAAAACACAGUUGUGCUGAGCAGCAGCGUGGGUUUGGGUUUGUCAGGGACUUUCUGCCUCCCUUCCUUUCUUACUAUGCACACGUGGUUUCACAGAGAGAAAGACAACGCUGAUGAUGGUCCCUCACGACUGGCUGGACCACAGAGGAGAGAGCAGGCUCCUGUAGGUUAACAGUUAAUCAGCAAUCCUGAGGGCCUUCCUGAGGAACAAGUGGCUGGUACAGGGAUAACUGAGCUCACUGCGGCCCUUUGUGGGCAGAACAUGUUUCUUUUGUCUAGAAAACCAAAGGAAACUUAUGAAAUUAAGAUUAGGAGUGGCAAUGACUUGGUUUGGUUGGGACUUAUAAAAAGUCAGCUGCUCAGUACUUAACCGACCUGCCUCUCAUUUCAGUUCUGGGCCACUCAAAGCUGCUUGUGAAAGAAGAACAGACCAAGAACUAUUCCUAGAAACAAUUCAGCAAAUUGCCAGCAAAUAUGGAGAAACCAUGAACUGUUUGUAGAAGAUACAGGAAUAGGCAAAAUUGACUGCAGAAAUUCUUAGCUGCCAUUUACUCCCCCAGACCGUUACCAAACACAGAAGGUGCUUGGUCCUAAAACCAAAAUAAUUUAUUCAACAAAAAUGCCACUUGCUGUCAUUGUUAUUAUUAAUGUUUGCAUUACAGGAGUGAUAUGGAUGCAAUCUGUCUUAUAUGACUAAAAUCAGACAAGUGAAAUGUUCUAACUGAAGAAUCAUAGGAAAGGCUUUGCAGUCCUUUCACAAGCAUGGUCCAGACCUAAGCUAAACAACUCAUUGGAGAACAUUCUGCAGGGAGUCGUUAUGAACUGGCAGAAGACAUGGACAAGAUGACCUCAUGGGUUUUUUCCAUCUCUGAUUUCUGUGACUACAUAAUUCCAUCUUGAUAUGGGACCAGAAGAGCUGACAGUUCCAUCUGCAGUCCCUCUUAAAAGUUAUUGACUCUACUCAUGGAAUAGUUCAAAAACUGAAGGGGAAAACCUCACGUGUGUAGGAAUUGAGGGCGUGUAUCAAAUUUGGGUUAGCAACACUACUUAGAAGCCAUAAACGGGAACGAAGAUGCAAUGAAAAAGCAAAGACUAGUCAAGAUUUAAAAGCACAGUGAAGAUGUGACCAGAUGAUAUUAAGCAGAAAGAUGGCUUAUUAAGUAAAGUUUAUCACUGCUACAAAGCCACAAAUAAUUGUUUUGAAAUUUUUUAUUUUCUGUAGCAUAUAGAAGAAACUAUCUCUUUCCAAAACAGAAUCAGUUUUCUAAACUUCAGAGCUCUUCUGCUCCUGCAGGUGUCCUUGUGUAAUAGUUUCUAAAGCAUUUUCAAAAUUAAAAAUAAUAAAAGCUCUAAUGGUGCUCUCUUGGCCAGGGACAUCAGAACAGUUAUGAAAGAGCAAUAAAGCAGCCUUUCUCUUUUAGCUGCCAACAACUCCAGAAACAUGUUAGCUGGAACUCUGACCCCUUACAUAGAAAACAUUAGAACAACUGCAACUUGAUACAAUUAACUGGUAUUAGAUUCAAAGUUUGUGAGGCCAACUGGCUUUUAUGAUAUAUUUCUUGGUACUUACACACUAAUGGAAACACUCCAAACUCUUGAAAAAUAUAUUCCAGAUAGGCUGACUGUUAACUCAUUUUUUAAAGCAACUGCGUUAGCAACUGCUCGUCCUGUCUGCAAGGAAUGAAAACCAGACAGACACAGCAUUUCUGCCGCUCUACACCCGAGAAACUGUUUCUAUCUGCAUCCAGCUCUCCCUUGGAAUAGAUUAACAAUGGCAAUAUUUGAAGUGUUAUGGAGAAAAAGCUUUCAUUGCCCUUCCCAAAACACUAGUAUCACAGUCGUAACAUUUCCCAAUACAUCUCUUCUUUCCCUAGCUUAAUAUUAAGGGAGGUACAUUCUAAACCUUCAGCUAUAGCCUGUUCUGUACCACGCACUCUCUCUUUCUGUACGAUACACAAAGGGCGACAUAGGCCGGAAUAAAAACUGUGGCAGAAGGGCAAUGGUUCGAGAUUGUGAAGCUCUGAAAACUGUAAUUCCUACUCAACCCUUCCACCUGUGUUUGAAAGAGGAUGGUUACAGAUAGCCACUGAAGCAAAGGAGACGGAAGGCUGAACUGGGUCCUACUGGCCAACCCACUAAAGGAACUGUAUAAUGGGAGUUGCUGCUGGUUAACCAGAGAGAUUGAUUGGCUUCUGCUGGAAACUCAGUGGAUUGCUUAUGAUAGUUUGGAAAACUCAGCCCAGCUGCUAACUAGGAGGUGUUUAUACCACCCUGGCACUGGUAAGCAGUCCAGCCAGCAUCACAACAGCAAAAGCAAAGUGAACUUUCCAAGGUAGAAAUGACAAGUUCGUUCUGCUCCUGCUCUUCAAACGCCUCAUGAAACAGUGUCCGGCGCUGUUCUCCAGCAUCACCCGACAGCACACAGCAUGCUGCUGAGAACUCCUGCAACUCCCAAUCCAUGAACAAUUCAGACAGUUUCUGCGAACAGAUGUGUGCGUUCAUAUUGCAGUCGUUUCCCCUGCUUUCAUCUUUUUCAGGCUGAGUCUAGCUGAAAAAUGUUGAUUCAUUUUCUGUAUUGCUAUAAACAUGAAGCUUCACUUGAUCUUGGUUUAUUUUGAAAUAAAUUGAAAGGAAGCCAAGGGAAUUAGUAAAGCAAUAAUCUGAACACAGUGUGGGAAACAAUACCAAACACUCUGACAAGUCAGAAAAGUCACUUAGCUCAUUAAUAUGCACAACAAAGUGAAAAAUGAGACAGAGCACUGCUUGGGGAUCGCUGUCUUAGGUGCACCAUUGCCACAGCACAUCACUGCAAUGCUGCUACACAGGUCAGAGCUUGAGUCUGUUUCUAUAAGGAAUUAAUCUGUCCAUCUAUCUCAUUUUCUCUUCACCAUUGUAAUGAAGUGUAAAAACUCCUCUCACUACAGGAAAAUUUUCAGAAGGCACAUCAGAAUGAGAAAUAUCCCUGGAAAAUUUCAGCAGACUAGAACAUGAGCACUGAGGAUGCUUCAGAGCCCUCUUAAACCUCGGCUGCUGUGCCCUCAGCAAGGUUGUUCUGAUUUAGCUGUUAAUUAUAUCACCCUUUUCCUCCGGCAAGGUCCCCAGGAAUCUCACGCAGCUCCAUUUUCCUUAACUUUGUACAUAUAUUCUAUUUUGUAAUAGCAAAACAGCCAAGACAUGGUGCAGUUACUGCUCCUAUAGGAAUGCAAAGGUCUCUUCAGCCUUAGCUUAUCGCUCAAGCUCGACUUUGAGCACCCAGCAGCAGACAGCGUGCAAAGACAGAUUUUACUUUCAUAGUAAUUAUGACACUGAAUCACAGCGAACUGGUUUAUAUGCAACUUUUCUUUACAGUAGUGGAAAAAGAUUUCUUACAAGUCUGGACUGUGCUUUGUAGUAUGAAAUAACAACCCCACAGACCAUGGAGUCUCUUUGGAAUUGAAGGUGGUGCAACUGAGAAAAGGUUGCAUAUUUAGGAAAGUUUCCAAAGUAAAAUCACCACAAAGGGUUAAUUUUACACCAGGACUCGAAGAGGACCUGAUCUUUCCAUGGGUGUUUUCUAGUAAGCUGUGUUCCGUAACAGAAACUCAGUCGCCAAGAACAGGAUCUCUCCGGGUGUGCCGGCUGCACUGACAUUCAUGCAUUCAGUGCCGGGCUGUUCUCUUUGCUGUUCAAAAAUUUUACAGGGAUGAUUAGGCAAAUGUUUCCAUAACAAACAUUUAUAGAAUUUCCUGCAGAUGUUGUAGCACUGACAUAACAGACACAAAAUCCAGGUUUGCCAUGUUCAUACAGGACAUAGGAAAAUAUAGAUGGUGAUGGCUCUAACGGGGGAACAGGCGCUGGAGGCAGGGGUGGGGUUUUUUUAUCAUCAUCAUCAUUAUCAUCAUCCAUUUUCAGUCCUCAAAAAUUCCUCCCAGUAGGUUGAGAUGAUUCUUUUAAAAGAAAUGACUGAAUUACACAGGAAAACUGAUAGAAUUCUUUAUAAUCAUCAAAAGAGCGUGGCUACAGCACAAGGCCAUGUGAAAUGCUCGCUCUGCAAUUCUGUCAUUGCUUGGAGCAAUGGAACUGCGGUGUUGUGUGCUAUUUGUUACAAGGAACAGAUUUGGAAUUCCUUUGACAACAGUUUGUUCUGAGAGACAGAAUAUUGGGAAGACAAAAAUCUAAUUCACGGUCACUUAAAAUCAGAAGUUCAGAAAUAGUUAUGAUUUAUGAGAGAAUGACAAAACAUGUGGCAGAUACUUCCAUCACAGAGGCACACAAAGAUGGUUGACUUAAUGCCCAUUUAACUUACCAGGUAAAUCAUUACAUAAGCCUUUGUGACCUUGAUCAAAACUCUCAAUAAACACGACCAGAGCAGGAUCUUCAUUUAUGCUUUUGGCCAAUGAUGUGUCUAUUUAUAGCGUUCAUAACAAAACAUGUACCUUACCACGGCAACCGCAGCGCCCAUGUGCUACCGCUGACACAAAAAGCACUAACCAGUGUCAAAUCAUGCUUCCGGAACAAUUUGUUUCCCGGUUUCCAAGCACAUAUUCCUCAUCAUUGAUCAUCAUGAAACAUUAUUUAUUGCUUUUCUCUGCUGCACAUUUGUCUCAUUUUUAUUUUCUUCACAGAAGCAGAAAAGUCUGCAUCAGAAAAGACAGAAUGGUGGUUUCCAUUUUGCAAGUCAAGUGUUCCAAUUUUAUAUAUAAUUUUCACAUAUGAAUUAACAAGGUUACCUGUACGAGGAAGCCUAAUGAAUAAGAGAGUUUUGUGUUCCGGAACUUGUGUGCUACAGCCUCAUCUCUACUAAAGUCUGCUGAACAAAGGAGCCACAGAGGUGAAGCGAGGGCUGGAGCACCUCCUGAAUGAUGGGCUGAGAGAGUUGAGGUUCUCAGCGUGCAGAAGAGAAGCUUCCACAGAGACCUUAGAGCAGCUUCCAGUACGGAAAGUGGCUCCAGAGAAGCUCUUGAGCAGGGAGUGCAGAGAUAGGACAAGUAGACAUGGUUUU
This is a long non-coding RNA of Cuculus canorus (common cuckoo), 10757 nucleotides long. RefSeq lists it as uncharacterized. The transcript is spliced from 4 exons. Lineage: Eukaryota; Metazoa; Chordata; Aves; Cuculiformes; Cuculidae. The record is from RefSeq and is a predicted model, not a curated record.